RNAcentral lists this ribosomal RNA (200 nucleotides) under Klebsiella sp. RNAcentral's name for it is "partial 16S ribosomal RNA". It matches the Rfam family "Bacterial small subunit ribosomal RNA", at positions 145 to 347 of the family's 1533-position model. The record is from RNAcentral. Lineage: Bacteria; Pseudomonadati; Pseudomonadota; Gammaproteobacteria; Enterobacterales; Enterobacteriaceae.
AACUGCUGCAAUCGGUAGCUAAUACCGCAUAAGGUCGCAGGACCAAAGUGGGGGACCUUCGGGCCUCAUGCCAUCAGAUGUGCCCAGAUGGGAUUAGCUAGUAGGUGGGGUAACGGCUCACCUAGGCGACGAUCCCUAGCUGGUCUGAGAGGAUGACCAGCCACACUGGAACUGAGACACGGUCCAGACUCCUACGGGAG